This 278-nucleotide unclassified non-coding RNA is filed under the name Hevea brasiliensis (rubber tree). The record is from RNAcentral. Lineage: Eukaryota; Viridiplantae; Streptophyta; Magnoliopsida; Malpighiales; Euphorbiaceae.
UUUUGUGGCUUGAAUUUUGAAUAUGUCAAGGAUCUGAAUUGUUACCCGAACCGAAAGUUUCACAAUCCAUUUGGGAUAAAAAGUGAGAAAUGUUAUGUUAGAGGAGGGCACGAGCUUGAUAGGGUUUGAGAGUAUUGUAAUAUGGACAAGUAUAAAUAUUGUAAUAUUCCACCAUUUGCGUUAGAAUUGUGAGAUAUUGGGGAACACACUUGAUUUUGCGGUAGAGUUAUGAGAUAUUCCGGAACACACUUGGAUUAGAGUUUGAGAGUUUUGAGUGA